Pan troglodytes (chimpanzee) is the source of this 3731-nucleotide long non-coding RNA. RefSeq lists it as uncharacterized. Lineage: Eukaryota; Metazoa; Chordata; Mammalia; Primates; Hominidae. The record is from RefSeq and is a predicted model, not a curated record. The transcript has 3 exons.
AGGUGUGCAUGGCCUCCAUAUCCAUGCCUGUUCCCUCGCUUUCCCUCCCUCCCGCAAACGGUGCUCUGGAAAAGGGCUGGGGUAGCAAGGGUUUUGUGAUGUUUACUACAACUACAGUGAAAUCCCGUGAAGUAAGAAAUACAUCAUCCCCAUUUCACAGAUGAGGAAACUGAGGCAUAGAAAAGAGAAAUGCCCAAAAGAUUUGCAAUCAAAACAGUCGAGACCAUGGUUCUAUGCAGACGCCGCCUCUGAAAAAUCACAGGUGACUUUCUAAUGACUUUCUUCUUAGUUUUUGGCCUUAUAAACAAAGAUGUUUCUGUUAGAUUUGACCCACUGAGGAGAAAGAGAGAGGGCCAGGAUGCUAUGAAGACUCCUUCCAGCAUCCAGCCCAGACACUCUGUCUUGGGGAGUGGACCAUUUUGACGCCCUGUCUGUAAGAUGCUCCUUGAAGCCAGAGACCAAGGAGCUAACCAAUUUAUGUUCUCACUGAAGUUGAUAUUACAGAUUAGAUACCAAUUCCCUGGGUGAGCCACAGUUUCUGAAAGAGGGGCUCUGGAUUCUCGAAGCAAGUUCCAUUUUCUUCUCUAUCAGUCUUGGUCCAUGCGUAAAGAAAAGAACAGAAAACCAGGUUUGGGGCCAACAUGAAGAAAUGCUAUGUAGAUACAUUUGUUGUGGUGAUUAAAAGGGCCAAUUCUCAUUAAGUGGAAUUUGCUCUCUUUCAACUGGACAUGCACAGGAGUUUUUUUUUUGUUUUUUGUUUUUUUAGUAUUAACUUAUUUUUUUCCCCUUCAAGCUUAGCCAGAGACCUCAUGGAGGUCUAAACCCAAGCCAAGCUUGAUCGGUUUUAAUUCAACCACUGUUGAUUUAUGGCUUAGCAAAAAAUGUCUGAGAAUUUUUUUAAGCUAAAAAAAUUUUUUUUACCCCAACUUGACUCCCUCACAUCUCAAAUCCAGCUGAAGGGAUAUUUCUUAGAUUUUCAAAAGACAAAGUCAUCAUUGGAAUGGAAGGGAGCACUGAAAGUUUCAAAUCCCAGAGAGAAGUCCUGUGAAAGCGUAUAUACAAGUAAAAACAAAUAUAUUGGAACACCAUGUGACACAUUAAAUAGGUUCAUUUGAUUCCCUUUGAAUAGAAACUAGAAUAGAAUCAACCCAAGGCUGGAGUGGAGGUGUGGGAUGGGUUGGGGGUGUUUUUUGAGGGAUUGCACCAGAAGAGACACAAAAGUUCCUCUUUGCUUUCUCUUAUAAGCCCCUCUUCCUUUUCUUAUCAGCCAGACCAAAAAUGAUCCAUGGUAAAUUUUUUUCUCUACCUGGCUCUGGAAUGUACAUUGUUAUAUAAUACAAGCAGGAAUUAGACUAAUAAGCUAUUACCAACUGCAAGAAGAAAACCAAUACCAAGCCACUGGUGCCUUCCAUCUCUGAUAUUUAAUGGGUCUAACCUAGUUCACAAUGCAUGAGCCUUUCUCUGCCUCCUGUAACAUUCAGGCCGGGCUGUGAGAUUUAACCAUUCAUUAACUGUGGGUGUAUAAUUUGUACCUUCUGUCUUUUCCUGGGUGAGCGUCCAUCUUUCCCAUAAGACUGUAAGCUCAGUGAGAGGAGGAACUGACCAUAUAUUCCAUCUAAUUUCCCACGGCCGUGACCUCCAACCUUCCUCUCGAUUUCUCACACAUUAGUCCCGUGACUGUCCGAGUCCCCUGCCUCAAAAGAACACACAGAAGGAACAAGGUAAAAGGUGCCUUUCUUCCUAAUGCUGAGGAAGAACCAAGUAUAUAAUUCCUGAUAAUUGCAUUGUACUCUUCUUCCUGGGGGAUCUUUGAGAAGCAGGGAAGGGGCACUCUCUGCUAUCAUAUAUUUGUGCACUGUGUGCUUCUCCACUAAGUGCAUAUCUUCAUGAAAAAAAUUACUGGUUAUACAGCAGCUCCGCUCAUGAACGUUAAUACACACCCAAUACUUAGACUGCCUUGGCUCAGACACAGAAUUACUGCUUUUACUUCUAAUGCUUUAAAUUCCUUCCAUGGUUUUAGUUUUUCAAUGUCAAGAACAGGCUUUCACUCAUCUCUCCGGCGACUGCGAUGAAUUCCUUAGAGACCAAGGCCACAUCUGUGCUGUACAUUAGCUUUCUUGCCUCAGACAUCGUCCUGGUUUCAUAUCAGAUAAACAGAUUAAUGGGCAAGGAAUAGACCUGCCCCAGAAAACAAAUGAAAUAACGGGACAGAAUUGUGUUUAAGUACAAAAAUGUCUGAUUCUUGUUAUAUACACUUUGUGCCAAAACACACCCCACCAGUGUUUAUAACUGAAUUUAUAUGAACAACAUCCUGAAAUUUAUUGAGCAUUUACAUUAUUCUAUACACUAUCCAAAGCACUCACAGAUAUUAUCUCAUUUAACUUUCACAAUUCUACGAGUAGUUACUAUUUACAAUUAGGUUCUAUUACUAUUAAAUUUGUACCAUCAAUAUUCAGUAUGACUCAUUCGGUCCUUACAUGAGGUUAUGAUGUCUUUUGUGUGAUUAUCUUAUACUGUAUGAAGACUUUGCAGUGUUUAUUAUAUGUCUCAUUUGUCUUUGUUGUAUUAAUUGCUACAAGAAGGAGAUCUCCAAGACCAGUUGCUUAAAGAACAGAGACAUGUAUUUCUCUCUCAUGUAAAAAUUUAGGAAGCAGGUUUCAGAUUGGCUGGUGUCUAUAGUCCACAUAGUCAUUCAGGGACCUUAGUUCUUUCAUGUUUUUUCUUUACCAUCUCCUAGGUGUAGCCAGUGUUGAGGCACCAGAGCAGAAUUGGCAUCUAUCACUUCUACUUACCUUGGAGAAAACUUAGUCACAUGGCCAUAGCUAACUCUACAGGAAACUAGGACAUGUAUCCACUGGGUACCCAUGUGUCUAGCUAUAGUUUUAUUACUAUGAAACAAAGGGAGGACUGGAAUUUAGUGAGUAGCUCACUAUGUUCAUCAUAGUCUUCAAUAAAUAGAUUGUAAACAAUUGGAGAGCUAGGCCUGUGUCUUAUUCAUAUUUGUCCCUAUCACAGGGCUAAGCACCUGCCACAGAAAUCACAGGGCUAAGCACCUGCUCACGUGCCAGCACUCCCUACUCUGGUGUAGGGAUGUAUAGGGUUUGUGAUGCCAGACAUGGCAAAUGAACCAUGGCACUACUCUUUCCUGAACUUGGGUUUGCCCUCAGAAUAUUUUGCAGUACAGUACCCCUGGAAGCCACUUGGAACAGGUGGGAAUUGGCACACCAUCUGAAUCCUAUUAGCCCUCCCUGAUUGUAGAUAUUCAAAUGUUAAAUAAAGAACCAUAAUAGUUUUCCCUCUAUUUCCAUGGAAACAGAUAUGUUGGUUACUGUGGUGAUUUUAACAUAAGUCUUCAAAUUCUUUGACACACCUUCCUUCAGAAGGUAGAGUUUAAUUCCAUUCCCCUUGAAUGUGGGCCAUUGGUGAGUCACUUAUAACAUAGGAUGUUGGCCAGGCGCGGUGGCUCACGCCUGUAAUCCCAACACCUUGGGAGGCCAAGGUCGGGGGAUCACCUGAGGACAGGAGUUUGAGACCAGCCUGGCCAACAUGGUGAAACGCCGUCUCUACUAAAAAUACAAAAAUUAGCUGGGCGUGGUGGCGGGUGCCUGUAGUCCCAGCUACUUGGGAGGCUGAGGCAAGAGAAUUGCUUGAACCUGGGAGGUGAAGGUUGCAGUAAGCCAAGAUCGCGCCACUGCACUGCAGCCUGGGCAACAAGAGCGAGACUCCAUCUC